Molecule: ribosomal RNA, 1361 nt
Filed under: uncultured soil bacterium
Lineage: Bacteria
Description: bacterial SSU rRNA
Rfam family: Bacterial small subunit ribosomal RNA
Source: RNAcentral
AUUGAACGCUGGCGGCGUGCUUAACACAUGCAAGUCGAUCGGUAACAGGUGUAGCAAUACAUGCUGACGAGAGGCGGACGGGUGAGGAAUAUUUGGGAAUCUGCCCAUCAGCGGGGGACAACCCGGGGAAACCCGGGCUAAUACCGCAUACGCUCUACGGAGGAAAGCCGGGGACCGCAAGGCCUGGCACUGAUGGAUGAGCCCAAAUCGGAUUAGCCAGUUGGCGGGGUAACGGCCCACCAAGGCGACGAUCCGUAGCUGGUCUGAGAGGACGAUCAGCCACACCGGAACUGAGACACGGUCCGGACUCCUACGGGAGGCAGCAGUGGGGAAUAUUGGACAAUGGGGGAAACCCUGAUCCAGCGACGCCGCGUGGGUGAAGAAGGCCUGCGGGUUGUAAAGCCCUUUCGGUAGGGACGAAAGCUCUUGCUCUAACAAAGCAGGAGGUUGACUUAACCUACAUAAGAAGCACCGGCUAACUCUGUGCCGGCAGCCGCGGUAAUACAGAGGGUGCGAGCGUUAAUCGGAAUUACUGGGCGUAAAGCGUGCGCAGGCGGCGACAUAAGACAGAUGUGAAAUCCCCGGGCUCAACCUGGGAACUGCGUUUGUGACUGUGUUGCUAGAGUGUAGCAGAGGGGGGUGGAAUUCCACGUGUAGCAGUGAAAUGCGUAGAGAUGUGGAGGAACACCGAUGGCNNNGGCAGCCCCCUGGGUUAACACUGACGCUCAUGCACGAAAGCGUGGGGAGCAAACAGGAUUAGAUACCCUGGUAGUCCACGCCCUAAACGAUGCCAACUAGGUGUUGGGGGAGGAGACUUCCUUAGUACCGUAGCUAACGCGUGAAGUUGGCCGCCUGGGGAGUACGGUCGCAAGAUUAAAACUCAAAGGAAUUGACGGGGACCCGCACAAGCGGUGGAUGAUGUGGAUUAAUUCGAUGCAACGCGAAAAACCUUACCUACCCUUGACAUGUCCGGAAUCCUGAAGAGAUUUGGGAGUGCUCGAAAGAGAACCGGAACACAGGUGCUGCAUGGCUGUCGUCAGCUCGUGUCGUGAGAUGUUGGGUUAAGUCCCGCAACGAGCGCAACCCUUAUCAUUAGUUGCCAUCAUUUAGUUGGGCACUCUAAUGAGACUGCCGGUGACAAACCGGAGGAAGGUGGGGAUGACGUCAAGUCCUCAUAGCCCUUAUGGGUAGGGCUUCACACGUCAUACAAUGGUCGGUACAGAGGGUUGCCAACCCGCGAGGGGGAGCUAAUCUCACAAAGCCGAUCGUAGUCCGGAUCGCAGUCUGCAACUCGACUGCGUGAAGUCGGAAUCGCUAGUAAUCGUGGAUCAGCAUGUCACGGUGAAUACGUUCCCGGGUCU